Molecule: ribosomal RNA, 247 nt
Filed under: uncultured bacterium
Lineage: Bacteria
Description: partial 16S ribosomal RNA
Rfam family: Bacterial small subunit ribosomal RNA
Source: RNAcentral
GUCGGGAGUUAGGAAAUGCAAGGGUGUUAAUAGCAUCUUUGCUUGACUAAGGCUCCGGAGGAAGCCACGGCUAACUCUGUGCCAGCAGCCGCGGUAAUACAGAGGCGGCAAGCGUUGUUCGGAAUUAUUGGGCGUAAAGAGCACGUAGGCGGCCGUGUAAGUCGGUUGUGAAAGCCUUCCGCUCAACGGGAGAACGGCAUCCGAUACUGCAUGGCUAGAGUGCGGGAGGGGAGAGUGGAACUUCUGG